Long non-coding RNA from Eucalyptus grandis, 234 nucleotides. RefSeq lists it as uncharacterized. The transcript is spliced from 4 exons. The record is from RefSeq and is a predicted model, not a curated record. NCBI's taxonomy places the organism in Eukaryota, Viridiplantae, Streptophyta, Magnoliopsida, Myrtales, Myrtaceae.
GGUUGCAAUUGGGACUCAUGACUUGGAUACGCUAGAAGGCCCCUUCAGCUAUGAGGCUUUGCCGCCUUCCAGUAUAAGUUUCGUCCCCUUGAAGCAGUUUCUGUUCUGAUAUUAGGUGAAGAACUUCAGAGCUGAUGAACUAAUGGAAUUUUAGAAGUCAGAUUUGAAAUUGAAGAAGUUCUUGCACAUAAUAGAGAACUCGCCUGUGUUCCCUAUUAUCUAUGAUUCAAAGAG